Molecule: ribosomal RNA, 465 nt
Filed under: uncultured bacterium
Lineage: Bacteria
Description: partial 16S ribosomal RNA
Rfam family: Bacterial small subunit ribosomal RNA
Source: RNAcentral
GAUGAACGCUGGCGGCGUGCUUAACACAUGCAAGUCGAACGGAAAGGCUCCUGCUUGCAGGGGUACUCGAGUGGCGAACGGGUGAGUAACACGUGGGUGAUCUGCCCUGCACUUCGGGAUAAGCCUGGGAAACUGGGUCUAAUACCGGAUAGGACCACAUUUUGGAUGGUGUGGUGGAAAGUUUUUCGGUGUGGGAUGAGCUCGCGGCCUAUCAGCUUGUUGGUGGGGUAAUGGCCUACCAAGGCGUCGGCGGGUAGCCGGCCUGAGAGGGUGUACGGCCACAUUGGGACUGAGAUACGGCCCAGACUCCUACGGGAGGCAGCAGUGGGGAAUAUUGCACAAUGGGCGCAAGCCUGAUGCAGCGACGCCGCGUGGGGGAUGACGGCCUUCGGGUUGUAAACUCCUUUCGCUAGGGACGAAGCGCAAGUGACGGUACCUGGAGAAGAAGCACCGGCUAACUACGUG